Long non-coding RNA from Equus quagga, 3848 nucleotides. RefSeq lists it as uncharacterized. The transcript has 4 exons. Lineage: Eukaryota; Metazoa; Chordata; Mammalia; Perissodactyla; Equidae. The record is from RefSeq and is a predicted model, not a curated record.
AUCAGGUUAGGAAUGUGCAAAAGAAUGAGAUGGGAAGAGGAGUUGCUUAGGAUGGAGGGGGAUAAAUAUGCUACUAAUGCAGGGCCCUAACUGGUCCCUGCAGAUCCAAUCUCACCCUCUCCAAUGUGUUUUCCACACUGCGCCAGAGUAGCCUUUUUCAAAAUGGGACUCUCCUCUUGGCUUUUCUAUUUAGCAUGCCAGCAGGGCGCCUCACAGGACCUGGCUUCUAUCAUCACCUUCCCUGCUCUCUCUCAUCUGUUUCUCUCCAGCUGUGAGAAUAAACAUUGGUUGAGCAUCAACUAUGUGCCAGACACUGUUCUGAGCACUUGACAUAUAUCAACUCAACCGAUCCUCACCACAUUCCUAAAACAUCACCCAUUUCACAGGUGAGGAAACUAAAGUGUACAGUGGGUAUGAGGUAUAGAUAUGUGAUUGAGAUGCAAGUCAGUCCUGUCUGCCUUUUCCCCUCCAAAAAUCUGUAGCAAGAGAAUUCAUCCUGAACACAACACAUGGAUCACACUCUCUGCAGUAUUUCUACUCGGCUGUGUCUGAGCCAGGUACAGGAGUCCCUGUGUUUACUGCCAUUGACUUCGUGGAUGACCAACCCUUCAUCUGCUGUGACAGUGAAGAAAUGAAGGCAAAGUCUUGCGUUCAGUGAUUGAUGGAGGAGCCAAGUUACUCUGAUGAUGAGACCAAGAUCUUUACAAGUUGGAUGAAAAUUUUCCCCUUAAAUCUGAGAAACAUGCAGUGAUACUACAAUCAAACCAUGAUGCAUGGACUGAACAAACAGCACCCACAAAAUCAAGUAGCUUGGUGCCUGGGAGAAAGCAGAGGGAAGCACUGCUCACCACCUCACCCCCGUCCCCAGGGACAGGAAGCCUCUCGACAACAGUUCCCAUAGGGUCAGGUGGGACAGGCGAGUGUGCACAAGUUAUCACAUGAGAGUAAAGCCUCGCCCAGUCUGGUCACAUGGGGAAUGGAGGCUGUUUGCCGUUACUCAUGAUUUCAGCAGUUCACUGGUCAUGGAUUCCACAGGUUGUAAGGGACAGAGCAGCUCUCCAUCUGCAGGCAAGUAAGAGGAGGCUCAGGGCAGUGAGUGUUGGAGAAUUGGCCCUCAUCGCACUUGGAGGAAGGAAAUAGAAGGUAAAUUGGUGGGUCCUGCUUCCUUUCCAGGAUUCUGCUUUAGUAAAAGUCCUUAUUAUCCUCACUAAGAUAGUAAGAGACUCGCAUGAAUUAAAUCAUUCAAAUCUCAUAAAAACCCAGUCCCAUUUUCAGACAAGGAAACUGAGGCCACUGAGAGGUAACUCAUUCUCAAUUGGCUAAGCUGUGACUCUAAGGAAACAGUCUGACUCCUGAGCCCAAGGUCCCCCUCUGUUAGGUUGACUCCUGUCCACUGUUCACCUGCCGCAUUAAGGGUCACCUCCUCCUGUGGACUCUGACAGCUUCCUUUUCCCUACCAGGCACUGCCUGGUUAGGAAUCUGUUGCAUUUCUCACGCUUCCUAUAGAUGAGUCCAUGGGGUUUGAAGUGAAAGGAGAGAUGGUUCUGUUGGCUGAUGGUUAUAUUUGCUGGAGGUGGCAGGAAUGGAGGGUCACAUCUGGGCUGUAUGGAAUCAAUGGUGUUUAUAUUUGGGGUGUGAGGUGGGCUAUCCUGAAGGGGUAAUAACCAGCAAUGCCAUGCAGAGUUUAUUCAUCACUGUUUUGUUUCACAGCCCGAAAGCACAGCCCCACAAGGACAUGAGAGACAGAAGGGUUCACUCAUCUCCUUCUAAUCCUGCUGCCCCUGACUUUUCUUCCAACUGCCUCCCUGGUGACAUCUGCUCUCCAAGGUGAAAACAUGAGGAGAGUUCUGGUCAUAUCCCUGCUCAUGGGCACUUCCUCUGCCUGCUGCUCCCUACUGGGGCUUCCUGGAUAGAGUGAGAGAAAAACAACUAGGAUCGGAAGAGAACUUGAUGUCUAUGCUGGUAAGGAGAAAGCAAGAUGUCUGUCUUCAGGAAAAGGAAGGGCUGCCCUAGAGAAGAGGAGUGAGAGGAGUUCCUGGUGGACCUUUAGAUUGGCAGCCUCUGUUCCUUGCCAUGUGGGUCUUUCGCUUCAUCAGAGCCUGCAGGAAGAGAAGACAGUAGACAGACUAGCAAGACAUAAGUCACAAUCUUAUAUGAUUCUAAUCAUGGAAGUGCCAUCACUGUGGCCACAUUCUGUUGGUGAUAAGCAAGUCACAGGUCCCUCUCACACUCAAGGGGAGGAGAUUCCACAAGCGACUGAUCACCAGGACGUGGGGAUAUUUGGGCACCAUCUUAGAAUCUGCACAGGGUUGUUCCAGGUCAGAGAAAGCAGGAACCAGAGGUUGCAAGGCCUCUGCACUACAUGUGUUCAUGCACAGGACAGACAGUCACUGAACAAGAUCAUUGUAACUGUGAGUCCUGUGUUAGACAACGUGAUCUGCAGAGCUGAGCUGUGUUUAUCAAAGGCAGUUCUGGAUACAAGAAUUAUAGUGUCAUUGGAAAGGUUUCUCUCGAGUUUAUGUGAACCUGAGAGAGCAUCCUCUCGGAAUGUUUCCCCCUUUACUUUCAGACCUCCCACGUCCCUAGGAAAACACCAUCACUAAACUGAAUUGGUUUUUCUUCCACGUGUCAUCCUGCCAGGCAAAUCCUGGCUCCCACUGUUUCUUCCAGCUAGCUUUCAUACAGGAUCCCACAAAGUCACUUCUUCUGAUUCCACUUUGUUGGUUUCUUCCCCUUCAUCCAGGCGAUUUCUGUGAGAUUUUAUUUCUCUUGUAUUGAUUAGUCAGCUACAUUAGGAAAUGAGUGUUCUCUGACUAAACUCCCCACUAAUCUUUGGACCAAAUGGGUGAAGUUUCCUCUCCAGGUCUCAGCUCACUUCCCAACUUCCCACACAGGGACGAGACAAAAUUAGUGGGGCUCCUGGAAGGCCAUAGAUUAGCACAGUUCCUCGUCACGACAAGACAUUUAGGUCACAAAGGGAUGUACUUUAAUUGUCUUUAUGCAGUGGGUGGCACAACAUCUGGUGCAUAGUUGGCACUCAAUAGGUGUUUAUAGAACUCCACUAAAUUGAACUCCCUGCCAAUCACCCAAAAACUUAUGAACCCGCCAACUACUCCUUAAGCUAUGGGCCCAAAGCCCUUGUUUCUUCAGGUGGGAUGCUGACCAUCUGGGGCCUUCUCUUUCCCACUGCAUUUUUCACACGCUCCUGCUCCCAUGACAAGCAGUUGAGUUUUACACUCAGAACUCUGGUCCUUUCAAGCCUUUUUCUCCAUCCUAAUAUCUUCACUAUUGUUCCUGCAAAGGUUUUCCCUGCCCACCCCCGCUUCUUCUCCAUGUAUCUCCGUUCAUUCUCACAUUUCAACCAGAGAGAGUCUUCCUAAAUGCGGAUCUGAUUAGGGUUCUCCCUGGCUUCAGUGCCGCCAUGUGCUGCAUGUUGUUCUCAGGUUAAAAGCCAAGGUUCUCCUCAGGCUGAGAUGGCCUUUGAGAUCUGGAGCGUGGUCCCCAUCCACUCCUGCUUUUUGUCACUGUGCUCUUCUCUAAUCACCCUGAUCUGCUAACACUCCUCCACACUCGCAACGUGUUCUCUCCAUCUGAGCCUUUGUUUGUGAUGCUCUUUCUCUAAAAGGCUUCCUUUGCCCACUUACUUGGAUUAAGUCUAUUCCUUAAUCCAAGGUCCCAGGUCUCAGUCUUGACUUUGAUUCCUCCUGGAAGCUGUUUCCCAACCACUAAUUAUAACAUGUUGCAUGUGCCAGGUUAUUCAACCCCAUUGUGAAUUCCUUGUUUCUCUUACUGAGCCCAGCAGAGAGUCUGCUGUCUAGUAACUGCCUAAUAAAUGUUUGCUAAAUGAA